This 416-nucleotide ribosomal RNA is filed under the name Escherichia coli. Its description in RNAcentral is "partial 23S ribosomal RNA". It matches the Rfam family "Bacterial large subunit ribosomal RNA", at positions 419 to 837 of the family's 2925-position model. The record is from RNAcentral. Lineage: Bacteria; Pseudomonadati; Pseudomonadota; Gammaproteobacteria; Enterobacterales; Enterobacteriaceae.
GGGACACGUGGUAUCCUGUCUGAAUAUGGGGGGACCAUCCUCCAAGGCUAAAUACUCCUGACUGACCGAUAGUGAACCAGUACCGUGAGGGAAAGGCGAAAAGAACCCCGGCGAGGGGAGUGAAAAAGAACCUGAAACCGUGUACGUACAAGCAGUGGGAGCACGCUUAGGCGUGUGACUGCGUACCUUUUGUAUAAUGGGUCAGCGACUUAUAUUCUGUAGCAAGGUUAACCGAAUAGGGGAGCCGAAGGGAAACCGAGUCUUAACUGGGCGUUAAGUUGCAGGGUAUAGACCCGAAACCCGGUGAUCUAGCCAUGGGCAGGUUGAAGGUUGGGUAACACUAACUGGAGGACCGAACCGACUAAUGUUGAAAAAUUAGCGGAUGACUUGUGGCUGGGGGUGAAAGGCCAAUCAAA